GAUGAACGCUGGCGGCGUGCCUAAUACAUGCAAGUCGAGCGAACGGACGAGAAGCUUGCUUCUCUGAUGUUAGCGGCGGACGGGUGAGUAACACGUGGAUAACCUACCUAUAAGACUGGGAUAACUUCGGGAAACCGGAGCUAAUACCGGAUAAUAUUUUGAACCGCAUGGUUCAAAAGUGAAAGACGGUCUUGCUGUCACUUAUAGAUGGAUCCGCGCUGCAUUAGCUAGUUGGUAAGGUAACGGCUACAAGGCAACGAUGCAUAGCCGACCUGAGAGGGUGAUCGGCCACACUGGAACUGAGACACGGUCCAGACUCCUACGGGAGGCAGCAGUAGGGAAUCUUCCGCAAUGGGCGAAAGCCUGACGGAGCAACGCCGCGUGAGUGAUGAAGGUCUUCGGAUCGUAAAACUCUGUUAUUAGGGAAGAACAUAUGUGUAAGUAACUGUGCACAUCUUGACGGUACCUAAUCAGAAAGCCACGGCUAACUACGUG
Molecule: ribosomal RNA, 495 nt
Filed under: uncultured bacterium
Lineage: Bacteria
Description: partial 16S ribosomal RNA
Rfam family: Bacterial small subunit ribosomal RNA
Source: RNAcentral